This 73-nucleotide transfer RNA is filed under the name Lepisosteus oculatus (spotted gar). It matches the Rfam family "tRNA". From Rfam's summary of the family: Transfer RNA (tRNA) molecules are approximately 80 nucleotides in length. Their secondary structure includes four short double-helical elements and three loops (D, anti-codon, and T loops). The record is from Rfam by way of RNAcentral. Lineage: Eukaryota; Metazoa; Chordata; Actinopteri; Semionotiformes; Lepisosteidae.
AGCUUAUUAGCACAAUAGGUAACUUGUCAGUCUCAAAAUCUGAAGUUAGUGAGUUCGAUCCUCACAUGGGGUA